This 294-nucleotide ribosomal RNA is filed under the name Triticum aestivum (bread wheat). RNAcentral's name for it is "partial small subunit ribosomal RNA". The record is from RNAcentral. Lineage: Eukaryota; Viridiplantae; Streptophyta; Magnoliopsida; Poales; Poaceae.
AUGAUAAGGGAAUUCUGGUGGGGUGAGGAUGAGGGCCAAAGGAAGGUACACUGGAUGGCAUGGGACAAAAUGACGAAGCCGAAGAGAGGAGGCGGUAUUGGAUUCAGAGAUAUGCAUAUGUUCAACCAAGCUUUGCUGGCAAGGCAGGGAUGGAGAUUGAUCCAAAAACUAGAGGGUCUGUGUGCGAGAGUGCUCAAAUCGAAGUAUUACCCCAACGGAGAAUUGCUGGAUACAGUGUUCGCGUCAGACGGCUCGCAAUCAUGGAGGGGAAUCGAAUUCGGCUGGAGUUACUAA